Tupaia belangeri chinensis (Chinese tree shrew) is the source of this 909-nucleotide long non-coding RNA. RefSeq lists it as uncharacterized. Lineage: Eukaryota; Metazoa; Chordata; Mammalia; Scandentia; Tupaiidae. The transcript is spliced from 4 exons. The record is from RefSeq and is a predicted model, not a curated record.
GUGCCGUGCGCACAAGGGCAGCUUGGACCUCAGCGACUGAAGCGAGCGCGGGCUCCCAGCCUUGGGCGAGGCCCAAUUCCAGGCCUUCUGUCGCUGUCAGCCCGCUGCCACCGCUGAGGGGUGAUGGUCACUGCUUAGUCGCCGAAUGUGCCAGGACCAGCCGCAGGCUUGCAAGUAGCAGCCGGCCUUCCCAGGGUCAGACUGCUCUGACCCUCUUCUCGAGAAUUCGGUGACAUUUCCACUUCAGCUUUCCUGAGGAAGCCCGAGUUAGGAAGCCGCCUGUAGAGGAGAUUUGGAGGGGCUCUUUGGUAAGCCCAGGUUUGCAGAAAGUGAGUACAGCAUCAGUGCCUUCAUAAUCAGGAGUGUCCAAAAGGACAGAGGCCCACGUUACAAUAAACGGAAGCUGUGGUUGGAAGUCAUGGUGAAGACACACUCGCAUUCUGAGCCCAGAUUUACAUCGAGAUUGUUCUUCUUCAACACCACUGCUAUUCCCGGAAAGAACACUAGUGUCUUUGAUCCUUGGCUGAUGAAAAUUGUAUAAGAGGAAUAUGAAAUUUUAAAGUCACUAUGGAGACCAUCUACUCUGCGUAAAAUGAUGAAAGGGCACAGGAAGAUGAUAAUGAAACACCACCACUUGGAAAGCCGUCAACAUUGUUUGGCUUUAAGGCGAUUGGUGGCAACUCACCACCCAGCGGCAAUCUCGUCGCAAGUGAGAAAAGCAAGAUGGAGUGUGGGGGGGCACCCCCAACAGAGCCCUCAUGUUGCAAUCUACCCUCAUAGUCUGCUCUGGAUUGUGGACACAUGUGCACCCCGUGUAUUAUUCAACAAGGUCUCCUGAUGGGAACUUGGAACCUUCCCAUGUAGGUCAGCUUUGCAGUGUUGUGUCUCUGCUGUGUCAUUCUGUGUCCC